Molecule: ribosomal RNA, 2925 nt
Filed under: Salmonella enterica subsp. enterica serovar Bareilly str. CFSAN000191
Lineage: Bacteria; Pseudomonadati; Pseudomonadota; Gammaproteobacteria; Enterobacterales; Enterobacteriaceae
Description: bacterial LSU rRNA
Rfam family: Bacterial large subunit ribosomal RNA
Source: RNAcentral
GGGUUGUGAGGUUAAGCGACUAAGCGUACACGGUGGAUGCCCUGGCAGUCAGAGGCGAUGAAGGGCGUGCUAAUCUGCGAUAAGCGCCGGUAAGGUGAUAUGAACCGUUAUAACCGGCGAUACCCGAAUGGGGAAACCCAGUGUGAUUCGUCACACUAUCAUUAACUGAAUCCAUAGGUUAAUGAGGCGAACCGGGGGAACUGAAACAUCUAAGUACCCCGAGGAAAAGAAAUCAACCGAGAUUCCCCCAGUAGCGGCGAGCGAACGGGGAGGAGCCCAGAGCCUGAAUCAGCAUGUGUGUUAGUGGAAGCGUCUGGAAAGGCGCGCGAAACAGGGGGAUAGCCCCGUAUGAAAAAGCGCAGAUGCUGUGAGCUCGAUGAGUAGGGCGGGACCCGUGGUAUCCUGUCUGAAUAAGGGGGGAUCGUCCUCCAAGGCUAAAUACUCCUGACUGACCGGUAGUGAACCAGUACCGUGAGGGAAAGGCGAAAAGAACCCCGGCGAGGGGAGUGAAAAAGAACCUGAAACCGUGUACGUACAAGCAGUGGGAGCACCCUUUUGGGUGUGACUGCGUACCUUUUGUAUAAUGGGUCAGCGACUUAUAUUCUGUAGCAAGGUUAACCGAAUAGGGGAGCCGGAGGGAAACCGAGUCUUAAUUGGGCGUUAAGUUGCAGGGUAUAGACCCGAAACCCGGUGAUCUAGCCAUGGGCAGGUUGAAGGUUGGGUAACACUAACUGGAGGACCGAACCGACUAAUGUUGAAAAAUUAGCGGAUGACCUGUGGCUGGGGGUGAAAGGCCAAUCAAACCGGGAGAUAGCUGGUUCUCCCCGAAAGCUAUUUAGGUAGCGCCUCGUGAAUUCAUCUCCGGGGGUAGAGCACUGUUUCGGCUAGGGGGCCAUCCCGGCUUACCAACCCGAUGCAAACUGCGAAUACCGGAGAAUGUUAUCACGGGAGACACACGGCGGGUGCUAACGUCCGUCGUGAAGAGGGAAACAACCCAGACCGCCAGCUAAGGUCCCAAAGUCAUGGUUAAGUGGGAAACGAUGUGGGAAGGCACAGACAGCCAGGAUGUUGGCUUAGAAGCAGCCAUCAUUUAAAGAAAGCGUAAUAGCUCACUGGUCGAGUCGGCCUGCGCGGAAGAUGUAACGGGGCUAAACCAUGCACCGAAGCUGCGGCAGCGACGUUUAUGCGUUGUUGGGUAGGGGAGCGUUCUGUAAGCCUGCGAAGGUGGCCUGUGAGGGUUGCUGGAGGUAUCAGAAGUGCGAAUGCUGACAUAAGUAACGAUAAAGCGGGUGAAAAGCCCGCUCGCCGGAAGACCAAGGGUUCCUGUCCAACGUUAAUCGGGGCAGGGUGAGUCGACCCCUAAGGCGAGGCCGAAAGGCGUAGUCGAUGGGAAACGGGUUAAUAUUCCCGUACUUGGUGUUACUGCGAAGGGGGGACGGAGAAGGCUAUGUUGGCCGGGCGACGGUUGUCCCGGUUUAAGCGUGUAGGCUGGUUUUCCAGGCAAAUCCGGAAAAUCAAGGCUGAGGCGUGACGACGAGGCACUACGGUGCUGAAGCAACAAAUGCCCUGCUUCCAGGAAAAGCCUCUAAGCAUCAGGUAACAUCAAAUCGUACCCCAAACCGACACAGGUGGUCAGGUAGAGAAUACCAAGGCGCUUGAGAGAACUCGGGUGAAGGAACUAGGCAAAAUGGUGCCGUAACUUCGGGAGAAGGCACGCUGACACGUAGGUGAAGUGAUUUACUCAUGGAGCUGAAGUCAGUCGAAGAUACCAGCUGGCUGCAACUGUUUAUUAAAAACACAGCACUGUGCAAACACGAAAGUGGACGUAUACGGUGUGACGCCUGCCCGGUGCCGGAAGGUUAAUUGAUGGGGUCAGCGCAAGCGAAGCUCCUGAUCGAAGCCCCGGUAAACGGCGGCCGUAACUAUAACGGUCCUAAGGUAGCGAAAUUCCUUGUCGGGUAAGUUCCGACCUGCACGAAUGGCGUAAUGAUGGCCAGGCUGUCUCCACCCGAGACUCAGUGAAAUUGAACUCGCUGUGAAGAUGCAGUGUACCCGCGGCAAGACGGAAAGACCCCGUGAACCUUUACUAUAGCUUGACACUGAACAUUGAGCCUUGAUGUGUAGGAUAGGUGGGAGGCUUUGAAGCGUGGACGCCAGUCUGCGUGGAGCCGACCUUGAAAUACCACCCUUUAAUGUUUGAUGUUCUAACGUGGACCCGUAAUCCGGGUUGCGGACAGUGUCUGGUGGGUAGUUUGACUGGGGCGGUCUCCUCCUAAAGAGUAACGGAGGAGCACGAAGGUUGGCUAAUCCUGGUCGGACAUCAGGAGGUUAGUGCAAUGGCAUAAGCCAGCUUGACUGCGAGCGUGACGGCGCGAGCAGGUGCGAAAGCAGGUCAUAGUGAUCCGGUGGUUCUGAAUGGAAGGGCCAUCGCUCAACGGAUAAAAGGUACUCCGGGGAUAACAGGCUGAUACCGCCCAAGAGUUCAUAUCGACGGCGGUGUUUGGCACCUCGAUGUCGGCUCAUCACAUCCUGGGGCUGAAGUAGGUCCCAAGGGUAUGGCUGUUCGCCAUUUAAAGUGGUACGCGAGCUGGGUUUAGAACGUCGUGAGACAGUUCGGUCCCUAUCUGCCGUGGGCGCUGGAGAACUGAGGGGGGCUGCUCCUAGUACGAGAGGACCGGAGUGGACGCAUCACUGGUGUUCGGGUUGUCAUGCCAAUGGCACUGCCCGGUAGCUAAAUGCGGAAGAGAUAAGUGCUGAAAGCAUCUAAGCACGAAACUUGCCCCGAGAUGAGUUCUCCCUGAGACUUAAAGUCUCCUGAAGGAACGUUGAAGACGACGACGUUGAUAGGCCGGGUGUGUAAGCGCAGCGAUGCGUUGAGCUAACCGGUACUAAUGAACCGUGAGGCUUAACCUUACAACGCCGAAG